AAACGGGGAUUAAUACCCCAUACGAUUCAUUUGUGGCCUCACAAAUGGAUAAAAGCUACGGCGGUUUCAGAUGGUCAUGCGUACCAUUAGUUAGUUGGUGAGGUAAAGGCUCACCAAGGCGAUGAUGGUUAGGGGUCCUGAGAGGGUAGUCCCCCACACUGGUACUGAGACACGGACCAGACUCCUACGGGAGGCAGCAGUGAGGAAUAUUGGUCAAUGGGCGCUAGCCUGAACCAGCCAUGCCGCGUGCAGGAAGACGGCCCUACGGGUUGUAAACUGCUUUUCUGCAGGAAGAAUAUAUAGUCUUAGGGCUAUAUUGACGGUACUGCAGGAAUAAGCAUCGGCUAACUCCGUGCCAGCAGCCGCGGUAAUACGGAGGAUGCAAGCGUUAUCCGGAUUCAUUGGGUUUAAAGGGUGCGCAGGCUGUAAAGCAAGUCAGUGGUGAAAGCCCUGGGCUUAACUCAGGGAUUGCCAUUGAAACUGUUUUACUAGAGUGUAGUAGAGGACGGCGGAAUGAGUUGUGUAGCGGUGAAAUGCAUAGAUAUAACUCAGAACACCUAUUGCGUAGGCAGCUGUCUAUACUACAACUGACGCUGAGGCACGAAAGCGUGGGGAGCGAACAGGAUUAGAUACCCUGGUAGUCCACGCUGUAAACGAUGAUCACUCGUUGUUGGCUACUUAGUAGUCAGUGACCAAGGGAAACCGAUAAGUGAUCCACCUGGGGAGUACGUCGGCAACGAUGAAACUCAAAGGAAUUGACGGGGGCCCGCACAAGCGGAGGAACAUGUGGUUUAAUUCGAUGAUACGCGAGGAACCUUACCUGGGCUUAAAUGCUGGCUGCAUUGGAGGGAAACCUUCAUUUCCUACGGGACCGCCAGCAAGGUGCUGCAUGGUUGUCGUCAGCUCGUGCCGUGAGGUGUCGGGUUAAGUCCCAUAACGAGCGCAACCCCUAUCGCUAGUUGCCAGCAUGUAAUGGUGGGGACUCUAGCGAGACUGCCGGUGUAAACCGGAGGAAGGUCGGGGAUGACGUCAAAUCAGCACGGCCCUUACGUCCAGGGCUACACACGUGUUACAAUGGCCGGUACAAAGAGCAGCCACCUGGCGACAGGGCGCUAAUCUCUAAAACCGGUCUCAGUUCGGAUCGAAGUCUGCAAUUCGACUUCGUGAAGGUGGAUUCGC
Molecule: ribosomal RNA, 1179 nt
Filed under: uncultured organism
Description: bacterial SSU rRNA
Rfam family: Bacterial small subunit ribosomal RNA
Source: RNAcentral